This 160-nucleotide ribosomal RNA is filed under the name uncultured Bacillus sp. Its description in RNAcentral is "partial 16S ribosomal RNA". It matches the Rfam family "Bacterial small subunit ribosomal RNA", at positions 355 to 507 of the family's 1533-position model. The record is from RNAcentral. Lineage: Bacteria; Bacillati; Bacillota; Bacilli; Caryophanales; Bacillaceae.
UAGGGAAUCUUCCGCAAUGGACGAAAGUCUGACGGAGCAACGCCGCGUGAGCGAAGAAGGCCUUCGGGUCGUAAAGCUCUGUUGUCAGGGAAGAACAAGUAUCGGAGUAACUGCCGGUACCUUGACGGUACCUGACGAGAAAGCCACGGCUAACUACGUG